GUUUCACAAUAUCGUCGAUAU
RNAcentral lists this microRNA (21 nucleotides) under Caenorhabditis brenneri. Its description in RNAcentral is "cbn-miR-7634". Lineage: Eukaryota; Metazoa; Nematoda; Chromadorea; Rhabditida; Rhabditidae. The record is from miRBase by way of RNAcentral.